Molecule: long non-coding RNA, 760 nt
Filed under: Setaria italica (foxtail millet)
Lineage: Eukaryota; Viridiplantae; Streptophyta; Magnoliopsida; Poales; Poaceae
Description: long non-coding RNA (SITA_LNC001744)
Source: RNAcentral
CUUCGUAGAGUUUGUGGUACCGUACCAAUACCAAUACCAUACCAGAGAGACUAUUCGCAUGUCUUGUCUGCCUACUGGUACCACCACCACCAGCACCAUGCUCCUGCGGUUUAAUUAAUUAUGACGGGUGCGUUUACCUGCAACAUCCUACUAACAUUUAUUAUACAUAUAUUAUUUAAGAGAAAGAAGAAUCACUAGUAGCACUUGAUGCUCCUUUUCCCCCUUCUCUCCCUAAAUUUUUUAUUUCCUUAUAGGGGUUAAUGUUUUUUUUCGAAUCAUAUAGUACAAAUGCAUACACUCACGUACACACACGCACACUCGCUUCUACGAACACACAUGCAACCCUACCCCUAUGAUCACUUUCGAAAGAUUGAGCCGGCAAAUCCUCGAAAUUGACGAAAUUAUCACUGACGUCUCGCUGUUGACGAGCACGUCAACUAUACCGCUAAAAAAAUAGCGCCGGUUAAAUUCUAGAAUAAAUUUAAAUAAAUACGAGCUUAGCUAGACUACGGGGUUAAUACUUAACAGAGAGAAUAAAUAACUCACUCUAUCCAUUUUCUUUGCCGAAAACAGCCCAAGUCCGUCCCGGAGGACCGUGUACGUAUAUCUUCUUCGUUACAGUGCCGGCCCAACUGAAAUCCCGCCCGACUGCCGGCCGCAGCAGCAACAAUGGACCGAUAAACUCACUGGGCUUCGAGGCAUUGAGGCCCAAAUCUUUCCUUCCGACUGAGUUGAUCCCAACAACAACAUCAACUUUGAG